Molecule: long non-coding RNA, 2054 nt
Filed under: Triticum aestivum (bread wheat)
Lineage: Eukaryota; Viridiplantae; Streptophyta; Magnoliopsida; Poales; Poaceae
Description: long non-coding RNA (TAES_LNC005460)
Source: RNAcentral
GGUAUAACAAAAUUUGCAAUGUAUCCAUUUUAAAUAGAAUGUGCAUCCUGUAACUUUCACAAAAAGUACAGGCAUGUCCUAUACCCAAAUAAGACCAGGUCAACAAAUUUUCUGAAAAAUACAGGUAGUCAUUCGAGAUUGUAAGUCUAUUAGUAGCUCUUCGAUGACAAAAUCUAAUAGUGAUCAGGAUGGACAUCCAUCGUGUCUCUAAUUUGGGGCUCUACUUAGCCUUUGUUUGUUUCGUAUGAAUUUAGGUGGUCCAUCAAAUUUUCAUCUAAGCUCAAUAAAACAGAGCCAUGCAUAGCCAGUCAUUACACGGCCAAUAGCAAUUGUACACAAAAUAGCUCACCCUGAACCGACAAAAGCAUCAACUAUGAUCAGCAACGCAUGUGAAAUCACAUCCUAAGUCCUAAAAGUAUAUGGCUACUGAAUAUCAGGGAACAUGAAAGCAGCAAGGCAAUGACAAAUGGACCAGUUCCAUGGCAGCAUGAUAUCUCUGCCCUCCUAUCCUUGUGAAUCUUGGUUAUUGGCAGGGAAAAACUUCUGAGUUGCCUUCCUUGGUUUGUGGGUAUAGACCCCUGCAGUGUACAACUUUCUGUAGAAAAAUGUAAAAUGUUAACACUGUUCUAAAUGGAUUUGCUAAUAAAACUCUAAAUUCAAGUAGGUGUGAGUGCAAACCAUGCAGAACCAUUCUUUCAGCCAAUCAACAUCGUUUUAAAGCAAAAGAAAUUGAGAAAUAAAGAACACAUCUACGCAGACCAUGGCAAGUUGUCUCUGCAUAAUAUACCGACAAACUUUGCAAACAUGUAUAGAAAAAGGACCUUAUAAAUCACGUACAUAUGAAUAUGUCUUCUCUAAAUGUAGGCCCUAGUUGAGAAGCAAGCCAGAUCUGGACAUUCAGUAACUAAAGCCACAAACUUAUCCACCUCUUCAUCCUUGAUCAACAUAUUCUAUAAGAUAGUAGUAUAUCUGUGUAUGCAGUGAACAAGGCCCGUAUGUUGCAACGGAAGAACACUCAUGAAUGUAAUCAACUGAACUAAAAAUUUUGCUAAUAUGUCUAGCAUCACACACCUCUCCUCCUCGUUCUACCUCACCACAAUUGCAUUACAUAUUAUGGUUAUACAUAUCCUCAAACGUGUAAGAACUAAUAUUUUCUUUCUCACGUGUAUGAAGAAAUACUUACAUUUACAUGCUAGAAACAAAUAGGAUGAAAAGUACAUAUGUCGUUCAUUGUUGUCCUUGUAUAAAAACAGUACAAACAAAGACAUAAACUCACUAAUCCUUGUUGUCUGUCUUUAUUUACAGAGCAUUUAACCUCUGCCUCAUUGAAAGUAUUCAAAACACAGAUUUCCGCAAACUAUAGGUAAAAGCUCCAAUUUCCACUAAAACAGGAACCAAAUAUUGCAGCAUAACAUUUUAUCACUUAGUAGUUAGAAAGAACAAAAAUUGAGCUAUUAUACCCAGUGAGUAUAGUAAUACCUUCAAUUCUUCAAAGAACAAAAAAUGAGCUAUUAUACUCGGUGAGUAAGCAUAUAAUCAUUCAAAGUAACCAAGGUCAGAGGUAAGCAGAAACUAUAAAUACCAUGUGCUCUCGCUUCUUUCUGUACAAAAAUACGCACCAUUUUAUACAAAAAACUGUACAUGGUCAGGAUUAAACUAAUUGUGAACUCAUAAUCUGAACUUCAAAGAACCAAGUUUUCUUACUCUAAGACAAGAGUGUAAAUAAUGAUAUGUAAAUGAAUAAUCAUAAUCUAAACCAAGUUCUCGUAUGAUGUGCAGGAGUUACAUUUCAAAAACAGUUUGUAACGCAUGGCAAUACAAUGUGAUAAUCAGGCUUCAGUCAUAAUGGGUGAAGAAUGCCUACCAGUAUAUCUACAUCUCAGGCCUAAUAAGAAACAAUGAAAAUGCAGUCAAGAUGGUGAACAAGCUAACUUUCUUUCCCAUUGCAUCUUUGAUAUAACCACGGUAGUGCGAACCAAUGACUUUGAGCUUGUCAAAUGGAUGCUUCUCCCAUAGUUCUUUAUGCCCCCUUCAAUACUUGUUCUCUUUGCUGC